RNAcentral lists this ribosomal RNA (305 nucleotides) under uncultured bacterium. Its description in RNAcentral is "bacterial SSU rRNA". It matches the Rfam family "Bacterial small subunit ribosomal RNA", at positions 337 to 659 of the family's 1533-position model. The record is from RNAcentral.
GCCUACGGGAGGCAGCAGUGGGGAAUAUUGCACAAUGGGGGAAACCCUGAUGCAGCGACGCCGCGUGAGUGAAGAAGUAUUUCGGUAUGUAAAGCUCUAUCAGUAGGGAAGAAAAUGACGGUACCUGACUAAGAAGCUCCGGCUAACUACGUGCCAGCAGCCGCGGUAAUACGUAGGGAGCAAGCGUUAUCCGGAAUUAUUGGGUGUAAAGGGUGCGUAGACGGGAGUCUAAGUUAGUUGUGAAAUCCCUCGGCUCAACUGAGGAACUGCAACUAAAACUGGACAUCUUGAGUGCAGGAGAGGAA